AUUGAACGCUGGCGGCAGGCCUAACACAUGCAAGUCGAACGGUAACAGGAAGCAGCUUGCUGCUUUGCUGACGAGUGGCGGACGGGUGAGUAAUGUCUGGGAAACUGCCUGAUGGAGGGGGAUAACUACUGGAAACGGUAGCUAAUACCGCAUAACGUCGCAAGACCAAAGAGGGGGACGUUAGGGCCUCUUGCCAGCGGGUGUGCCCAGGUGGGAUUGGCUAGUAGGUGGGGUGACGGGUGACCUAGGCGGCGAUCCGUAGCUGGUCGGAGGGGAGGAUCGCCGGCCUGGGAGCUUGGCCGCGCACAAUGCGCCUGCGGGACGGACCAGACGCCUACGGUGGGCAGCAGUCGCGAAUCUUGCGCAGUGGUCGGAAGCGUGAUGCAGCAGCGCCGCGUUUGUAAUGUCGGCCUUCCGGUUGUAAACCGCUUUCGGCUGUGACGAAGCGUGAGUGACGUUACUGGGUAAAGAAGCACCGGCUAACUACGUG
RNAcentral lists this ribosomal RNA (490 nucleotides) under uncultured bacterium. RNAcentral's name for it is "partial 16S ribosomal RNA". It matches the Rfam family "Bacterial small subunit ribosomal RNA", at positions 28 to 507 of the family's 1533-position model. The record is from RNAcentral.